CCGGGCGUGGCGGCGGCUGUUCGGCCGGACGGCUGCCCGUGCCGUCCCGGCCGGUCGGGGAGAUCGGGGCGCCCGUGCCGUCCCGGUUGCCGGGG
Molecule: transfer RNA, 95 nt
Filed under: Plantactinospora endophytica
Lineage: Bacteria; Bacillati; Actinomycetota; Actinomycetes; Micromonosporales; Micromonosporaceae
Description: tRNA-Gly
Source: RNAcentral